AUUAAGAAACAGGGGGAAGGGAAAGGGACCAACUUUUUUGUUUGAUUCAUUUUUUAGUUUGUUGUAUUAAGAAAAAUAGAGCUUAAGGUAUAUUUUUGUUGUGGGCUUGGCUUGAGUUGGGUUAAAUUUCAAUCUUGGCUUUAUUGUGAUAGGUUGGGUUGCUGGCUCAUGUCUAUUCGGGCUUGGUUGUUUGGGUUUAAAGCUAAAUGGAAUUGGACCAAUCGUUUUUGAUCUAGAACAUUCUCUCCAUACUCUCUCUCUUGAUUGAUCUUCGUUGGUCGACGAUAUACGACGAUCUACGGCGGAAUGGCUUUGCAAUUGAAGCUAGAGUUGAUAUUGUGUGGUCGCAUUUCAGUCAGUUUGGCCAUGUUUUGGACGUGUAUCUUUCUAAGGAAUUUAUGAAUUAUAAGAAUUCUUGUGCUAGUGUCAUGAGGGCUAUUUGGUUAAAUUUCAUGAUGGUGUUGUUGCUGGUGCUGGUAUUGGUGUUGGUGGGUCCAUUUUCUGCCCCAGCCCUGAUGUGAACAUCAAGGCUGAUAGCUUCAUAGCUAGGCUCCAUGAUGGUUGGAGGCUUGAGAAGGUGAAUUCCAUGAGAGAGAAGCAAAAGAUGGGCUAGAAGGGCCCAUUUAGUGCUACAAUAAAUAACUAAAGAUUUGAAGGGAUGGGGUUAUGAUUGUGUUUUUUGAUCACCUUUUGGAACCCAUGGAAGAGGAUUGGAGUUUGAAUUGCAGUUUGCAUUGUUUAAUGGUUUUUUUAUUGCAUUAAACGGGGUAUGUAUAGGUUAAGGUUAUGCCUUUGGUUGAGGUUCUAGUGAUGGUGGCUGAGACACAACUACUGGCUUUGGUUCUUGCUCAGAUACAGAUGAUGGGGUUUGAGUAGAAGUGGGAGUAGGCUGAGAGGUUUCUUGAACCUUAGGUUGUGAAUUAGUUGGACCUGUUGGUUGUACCUGAGUGGUUAUGAGAGAUGGAGAUUGAGUAGAAGUGAGAGUAGGCUGAGAGCUUUCUUGAAUUUUAGGUUGUGAAUUUGUAGUAAGAGUUGGUUGUGAGAGAUGGAGAUUGAGUAGAAGUGGGAGUAGGCUGGGAGCUUUCUUGAAUUUUAGGUUGUGAAUUUGUUGUACCUGAGUGGUUUUGAGAGAUGGAGAAGAAGGUUGUGAUGUUGUUCAAUCAGCAGGUUCAGAGGACAAACAAAGUGGAGCCUCAGGCUGGGGGUCUUUCUGCGAUGCAAAGCUUUGCUAUAUUAAUGAAUUUUGUAGUUGACAACCAAGUGCUCUCUUGUUUUCUAUCAACUUCUUACACUAAAUCACAAAAAUGACAUCAAGUAAAAAGCUUGUUGGACGAUCUCAAAUAUCACUGCUGGGAAUAAAGGUCAAAUACAGGAUGAAAGAAAAACGUGUCAGAUGGCUUCGGUUUUAUAACAUUUGCUGAUGAAAUUUCAACCAAGUAGGCAGAAUGUACAUAGGAUACUUGGGUAGAAGGUGUGUCAGUGUGAAAUAUGAUUAAAUGUUGUACUACUAAUAUGUUCUGGUAAUCUCAGAAAUGCCUAUUAUUGGUAAUGGCCAUGCGCUUGGGCCAUGUAGGUACCCAUGUGGGUUUGCUCGUAUCAAAUGAAUGGGCCUCAGAAGUUCGUUAUGCAGAGUGGUUUGGGCUACUGUCUAUCAAUAUGGUCUUUGUGUAACUCAAGUUCAAGGAGGAGAAAUCAAAACAGAGGAAAAUAUAACAAAGAGUGUGAGAAAAGAUGUCAAAUUUAGAAUGAUGUUUAAAUGAAGUGGCUGCAACUCUAUCCUAAACAAGUUCUCCAUUCUAACAGGGGUAUACCUCAUUCCAUCCUUCAUGACUUCUGCUUAAAAGUUUGCUAGUUUCUAGGUUUGUGAUU
This is a long non-coding RNA of Quercus lobata, 1869 nucleotides long. RefSeq lists it as uncharacterized. The transcript is spliced from 4 exons. NCBI's taxonomy places the organism in Eukaryota, Viridiplantae, Streptophyta, Magnoliopsida, Fagales, Fagaceae. The record is from RefSeq and is a predicted model, not a curated record.